CCCUUAGAUGUUCUGGGCCGCACGCGCGCUACACUGACGAAGUCAGCGAGCAUGUCCUACGCCGACAGGUGCGGGGAAUCUUGUCAAACUUCGUCGUGAUGGGGAUUGAUUAUUGAAAUUCUUGAUCAUCAACGAGGAAUUCCUAGUAAGCGCAAGUCAGCAGCUUGCGUUGAUUACGUCCCUGCCCUUUGUACACACCGCCCGUCGCUACUACCGAUUGAAUGGUUUAGUGAGAUCUUCGGAUUGGCGCCACUGCGGCUCAGCAAUGGGCUCGGUGGAUGCCGAAAAGUUGAUCAAACUUGAUCAUUUAGAGGAAGUAAAAGUCGGAACA
Molecule: ribosomal RNA, 331 nt
Filed under: uncultured eukaryote
Lineage: Eukaryota
Description: partial 18S ribosomal RNA
Rfam family: Eukaryotic small subunit ribosomal RNA
Source: RNAcentral